UACAUUGAUAGUAAUGCAUCCGGUGGAUGCCUAGGUGUUUUCAUUGAAGGAUUAAUGGGAAUCAAAUGAACCAUUAAUGAUUUAUUAUAGGAAGUAAUAUAUCUAUACUAAAUCCAAUACACAGGGAACUGAAACAUCUUAGUACCUGUAGGAAGAUUUAUCUAAGAUAUUCCGUUAGUAGUGGCGAAUGAAAGCGGAUCAUGGCUGUUAUGGUAACACAAGGAUGUUGGUUACUUGAAAGAGUAAGUGGUAAUAGGUUAAAACCCGAUAUCAUCUUAGUAGUUUCCAAAGGAAAGUAGAAUGAGACACGAUGAACCUCAUUCGAAGAUAGGAGGACCACCUUCUAAGCCAAAAUAUAUGGAUACAACCGAUAGUGAACUAGUACCGUGAGGGAAAGGUGAAACAGACACCCGAACAGGGUAGUGAAACAGAUCCUGAAACCGGAUGCUGACAAGCAGUCGGAGGGUCCAAAGACCUGACGACGUACCUUUUGCAUAAUGGGUCAACGAGUUGUUGUUGUAAGCAAAGCUUAUGUUUAAUACUAUUAAAGGCGAAGCGAAAGCAAGUCCACAAAGGGCAACAAUAAGUUUACAGCUUCAAACCCGAAACCGAGUGAUCUAACCAUGGACAGAUUGAAGACCGAUUAAUCUCUGUUGGAGGAUCGAACCCGUGUGUGUAGCAAAACGCUGGGAUGAUCUGUGGUUAGGGGUGAAAGGCCAAUCAAACUCGGAGAUAGCUGGUUCUCUGCGAAACCUAUGUAGGUAGGUUGUUGAUUUUAUCUCAAAGGAAGGUAGAGCACUGGAUGGAUGGGUAUAACGAGAGUUAUAGUUAAGUUCAACCAAACUCCGAAUAUCCUUCGAAGAACUGAUCAACAAACACACCAUGAGCUCUAACGUCCAUGGUGGAGAGGGAAACAACCCAGACCUUUGAUCAAGGUCCUUAAAUCUGAACUAAGUGAAGAAGAUGACAACCAUCCAAUGUCUAUCAGGAUGUAGGCUUAGAAGUGGCCAUCAUCUAAGGAAAGCGUAACAGCUCACUGAUUAACGAAUGGUUGAGUCUAAAAUGUAACGGGACUAAGUUCAGUACCGAAGUCAAGGACAUUGCCAAUCGAGCAAUGUGGUAGCAGAGCAUUCCGUAGGCCAUGGAAGGCAACCCGUGAGGGUUGUUGGAGGCAUCGGAAGUGAGAAUGUUGACAUGAGUAACGAUAAUUGAAAGUAAGAAUCUUUCACACCGAAAGACCAAGGUUUCCCAUUCCAGGAUGUUCCGAAUGGGGUUAGCCGAUACCUAAGGUAAAGCGGAAACGCAUAGCCGAUGGCAAUCACGUUAAUAUUCGUGAGCCUUUUCCAAGUGAUUUAACAAGAAAUGUGUUAUGUCCUAUUGGAUCGAUAUUAGCACUUUUGAUGUUAACAGGAAAAAGCUUGGAAAUCUUGAUCGUACCUAAAACCAACACAGGUGGUUGGGUUGAGUAUACUAAGGUGUUUGAGAUAAUUGUGCUGAAGGAACUCGGCAAAUUGUAUGUGUAACUUCGGAAGAAACAUAACCUGAUUUGGGUAACCAGAUUCAGGUGUAACUGAAAUGAGGGAAGCGACUGUUUAUCAAAAACACAGGACUCUGCAAAAUCGUAAGAUGAAGUAUAGAGUCUGACGUCUGCCCGGUGCUGGUAAGUGAAAUUCGGAUGUUCCAAAGCAUCUGGUCUAAGCUCCAGUAAACGGCGGCCGUAACUAUAACGGUCCAAAGGUAGCGAAAUUCCUUGUCGGGUAAGUUCCGACCAGCAUGAAUGACGUAACGACUUCCCUGCUGUCUCCAGCACAAGCUCAGUGAAAUUGAAAUCCCCGUGAAGAUGCGGGGUAUCUGCGGCAAGACGGAAAGACCCCGUGCACCUUUACUGCAACCUUGUAUUGAUGUGAAUUUGAUUUAUUGUACAGCGUAAAUGGUAUAACGAUGACAAUUGGGUCCAAGCCCAAUUCGAGUUGUCAAUGAAACACCAUUCGAUUUUUAAAUAACAUCUGAUUACUGUCAUGUUAUUCUUGAAGUAAAACAUUGCAAGGCGGGUAGUUUGACUGGGACGGUCACCUCCUAAAAGGUAACAGAGGUGUGCAUAAGGUAGGCUCAUGACGUUUGGAAAUCGUCAGUAGAGUACAAUGGCAUAUGCCUGCUUAAGACUGCGAGGCAGACAUGUCGAGCAGAGACGAAAGUCGGUCAUAGUGAUCCAACGGAUCCAAGUGGAAGGGCUGUUGCUCAACGGAUAAAAGGUACGCCGGGGAUAACAGGCUAAUAGCUCCCAAGAGUUCUUAUCGACGGAGCUGCUUGGCACCUCGAUGUCGACUCAUCGCAUCCUGGGGCUGAACAAGGUCCCAAGGGUAUGGCUGUUCGCCAUUUAAAGCGGUACGUGAGUUGGGUUCAGAACGUCGCAAGACAGUUCGGUCCCUAUCUGCCGUGGAUGUAAGAAUGUUGAUUAGGACCUGUCUCUAGUACGAGAGGACCGAGAUGGACAUACCUCUGGUAUACCUGUUGUCGUUGCCAACGGCAUGGCAGGAUGGCUAAGUAUGGAACAGAUAACAGCUGAAUGCAUCUAAGCCGGAAGCUAACCUAGAAACGAACAUUCUAUUAAGAGAAGUGAUAAGAUCAUCACAUUGAUAGGCCAGAUGUGUAAGCAUGGUAACAUGCUAAGCUAACUGGUACUAAUACCUCGAAAGUUGUAACAAA
RNAcentral lists this ribosomal RNA (2706 nucleotides) under Candidatus Hodgkinia cicadicola. RNAcentral describes it as "bacterial LSU rRNA". It matches the Rfam family "Bacterial large subunit ribosomal RNA". The record is from RNAcentral. Lineage: Bacteria; Pseudomonadati; Pseudomonadota; Alphaproteobacteria; Hyphomicrobiales.